This 371-nucleotide ribosomal RNA is filed under the name Thraustochytriidae sp. RNAcentral describes it as "Thraustochytriaceae sp. partial small subunit ribosomal RNA". It matches the Rfam family "Eukaryotic small subunit ribosomal RNA", at positions 582 to 975 of the family's 1831-position model. The record is from RNAcentral. Lineage: Eukaryota; Bigyra; Thraustochytrida; Thraustochytriidae.
AUUCCAGCUCCAAUAGCGAAUACUAAUUCUGCUGCAGUUAAAAAGCUCGUAGUUGAACUUCUGGUAGGACAGAUCCGGCCUUUGGAUGAAUGUCCAUUGUAUGCUGUGUGUCUUGUCUGGCCAUCCUUUAUGUCUUUUAGGCGUAAUCUUUCACUGUAAAAAAAUUAGGGUGUUUCAAGCAAAAGUUAUUUGGAAUAUAUUAGUAUGGGAUGAUAAGAUAGGCUCUUGAGUGCUACUUUGUUGGUUUAUACACUUAGAGAACGAUUAACAGGGACAGUCAGGGGCACUCGUAUUCCGCCGAGAGAGGUGAAAUUCUCAGACCAGCGGAAGACGAACCACUGCGAAAGCAUUUGCCAGGGAUGUUUUCAUCA